GCCCCAUAGUCUGGGAUACCACUUGGAAACAGGUGCUAAUACCGGAUAAGAAAGCGGAUCGCAUGAUCAGCUUUUAAAAGGCGGCGUAAGCUGUCGCUAUGGGAUGGCCCCGCGGUGCAUUAGCUAGUUGGUAAGGUAAAGGCUUACCAAGGCGAUGAUGCAUAGCCGAGUUGAGAGACUGAUCGGCCACAUUGGGACUGAGACACGGCCCAAACUCCUACGGGAGGCAGCAGUC
This 235-nucleotide ribosomal RNA is filed under the name uncultured Lactobacillus sp. RNAcentral's name for it is "partial 16S ribosomal RNA". It matches the Rfam family "Bacterial small subunit ribosomal RNA", at positions 128 to 355 of the family's 1533-position model. Lineage: Bacteria; Bacillati; Bacillota; Bacilli; Lactobacillales; Lactobacillaceae. The record is from RNAcentral.